Molecule: long non-coding RNA, 862 nt
Organism: Actinia tenebrosa (Australian red waratah sea anemone)
Lineage: Eukaryota; Metazoa; Cnidaria; Anthozoa; Actiniaria; Actiniidae
Source: RefSeq, a predicted model, not a curated record
UUUGCAUCUCUCGUUAUCGUCUACAAACUAGGAAUAUAUUUCAUGUUGAUAAAAUGCCGACUUUGAAAUGGCGUCUUUUUAUUUUGACCAGAAAGACGUGACGUCAUAUCCCCAGUUUAGCUUGCAUGCGCUGACAAUAGCAACUAUGACGUCAACUGGGUUAAUUAAAGAAACUCUUCCAGACGUCUUAAGGCAUGCCACUAUCAAAGCUACACCAAUAAUACAGUAGUAUUCGCUGCAAUGAUUAAUCCAGUAACAACAGAGGAAACAGCAUUUUGCAGAUAUUGAGAGAUAUAUAUAACUGACGUCAAUUUUUUAUCGUAAUAAUUGAUAAAAAUCAUUACGGUAUCAUUUGAUAGUAUAGAUAAAAUAAAGUUGUUAGGUUUAAUGAUCUUCCUACAUAGACAUGCGAAGAGGACUGUGCAAAAUGGGAUAUCGUUCAGAAUUCAGGCGUCAGGUACAUCAAAACGUUUGAGUAAAUUACGGUUAUUGGCACAUUUCAGCUUACGUUCUUGGCGCGUUUUUGACAUUAAUUUUCAGUCCAAUCAAAACAUUCUCUUUCUGCCAACGAAUGUACACAUUUUGACAGCUUUCAAGAACGCGGUUGCAGAAAUAUUCAAAGAAACCAUUUAUAAAGAAUAAGAAAAUAACUCGAAGUGCUUAACUUGGUUGUCUUGCUUGUCGACAACGUUAACAGCCGUUUUAUUGUGGUAGUGAUGUUGAGUGGCGUUGUGUUUCAUGCUUUUGUUGAAGGGAUAUUUGUCCGAACGAGCAAAGGUCGACACUGAUUGUUCAAAUGUGGUUGGCGGUUAGUCUAACUAAACCCUCCCUAACUAAGGCAUUUCUGAUAUGACAAUGACAG